This is a small nucleolar RNA of Phyllostomus hastatus (greater spear-nosed bat), 130 nucleotides long. RefSeq annotates it as small nucleolar RNA SNORA11. The record is from RefSeq and is a predicted model, not a curated record. Lineage: Eukaryota; Metazoa; Chordata; Mammalia; Chiroptera; Phyllostomidae. The transcript has a single exon.
AAGAUGUCCUGGACAGGGAGCCUGAUGCAGUGGCCCCAUGGUUUACAACACACCCAACAGGAAUCCAGGGGUGAUUGUGACAAGGGGCAUAAGCCGGUGGCCUUACUGUGGACAAACAUACCCUACAUGU